GAUGAACGCUGGCGGCGUGCCUAAUACAUGCAAGUCGAGCGAACAGACGAGGAGCUUGCUCCUCUGACGUUAGCGGCGGACGGGUGAGUAACACGUGGAUAACCUACCUAUAAGACUGGGAUAACUUCGGGAAACCGGAGCUAAUACCGGAUAAUAUAUUGAACCGCAUGGUUCAAUAGUGAAAGACGGUUUUGCUGUCACUUAUAGAUGGAUCCGCGCCGCAUUAGCUAGUUGGUAAGGUAACGGCUUACCAAGGCAACGAUGCGUAGCCGACCUGAGAGGGUGAUCGGCCACACUGGAACUGAGACACGGUCCAGACUCCUACGGGAGGCAGCAGUAGGGAAUCUUCCGCAAUGGGCGAAAGCCGGACGGAGCAACGCCGCGUGAGUGAUAAAGGUCUUCGGAUCGUAAAACUCUGUUAUUAGGGAAGAACAAAUGUGUAAGUAACUAUGCACGUCUUGACGGUACCUAAUCAGAAAGCCACGGCUAACUACGUG
This 497-nucleotide ribosomal RNA is filed under the name uncultured bacterium. Its description in RNAcentral is "partial 16S ribosomal RNA". It matches the Rfam family "Bacterial small subunit ribosomal RNA", at positions 28 to 507 of the family's 1533-position model. The record is from RNAcentral.